GUCGGGAGGGCGACUAAUAUAAUACCCGAGAGGGGAAUACGUCCAGCCCUACCUAUUGCGGGUUUUUCAGCCUCCCGACGCCCAGUG
Molecule: non-coding RNA, 87 nt
Filed under: Aggregatibacter actinomycetemcomitans D11S-1
Lineage: Bacteria; Pseudomonadati; Pseudomonadota; Gammaproteobacteria; Pasteurellales; Pasteurellaceae
Description: sRNA-Xcc1
Rfam family: sRNA-Xcc1
Source: Rfam by way of RNAcentral